GACGAACGCUGGCGGCGUGCUUAACACAUGCAAGUCGAACGGUGAAGGUGGAGCUUGCUCCGCCGGAUCAGUGGCGAACGGGUGAGUAACACGUGGGCAACCUGCCCCUCACUUCGGGAUAACUCCGGGAAACCGGGGCUAAUACUGGAUACGACCUCCUUGGGCAUCCUUGGAGGUGGAAAGUUUUUCGGUGAGGGAUGGGCCCGCGGCCUAUCAGCUUGUUGGUGAGGUAGUGGCUCACCAAGGCGACGGCGGGUAGCCGGCCUGAGAGGGCGACCGGCCACACUGGGACUGGGACAAGGCCCAGACUCCUACGGGAGGCAGCAGUGGGGAAUAUUGCGCAAUGGGCGAAGGCCUGACGCAGCAACGCCGCGUGCGGGAUGAAGGCCUUCGGGUUGUAAACCGCUUUCAGCAGGGAAGAAGCCGCAAGGUGACGGUACCUGCAGAAGAAGCACCGGCUACUACGUGCCAGCCGCCGCCGUAA
This 484-nucleotide ribosomal RNA is filed under the name uncultured bacterium. RNAcentral's name for it is "partial 16S ribosomal RNA". It matches the Rfam family "Bacterial small subunit ribosomal RNA", at positions 28 to 523 of the family's 1533-position model. The record is from RNAcentral.